UAUAGUUUAACAAAAACACUACUUUUUCAUAGUAAAAAUUAACUCCCCAUAGUUAUA
This 57-nucleotide transfer RNA is filed under the name Hydroptila sp. XG-2021. RNAcentral's name for it is "tRNA-Glu". Lineage: Eukaryota; Metazoa; Arthropoda; Insecta; Trichoptera; Hydroptilidae. The record is from RNAcentral.